This 438-nucleotide ribosomal RNA is filed under the name uncultured bacterium. RNAcentral's name for it is "bacterial SSU rRNA". It matches the Rfam family "Bacterial small subunit ribosomal RNA", at positions 338 to 792 of the family's 1533-position model. The record is from RNAcentral.
CCUACGGGGGGCAGCAGUGGGGGAUAUUGCACAAUGGGGGGAACCCUGAUGCAGCGACGCCGCGUGGGUGAAGGAGUAUUUCGGUAUGUAAAGCCCUAUCGGCAGGGAAGAAAUUGGACGGUACCUGACUAAGAAGCCCCGGCUAACUACGUGCCAGCAGCCGCGGUAAUACGUAGGGGGCAAGCGUUAUCCGGAUUUACUGGGUGUAAAGGGAGCGUAGACGGUGAAGCAAGUCUGAAGUGAAAGGCGGGGGCUCAACCCCCGGACUGCUUUGGAAACUGUUUGACUGGAGUGCAGGAGAGGUAAGUGGAAUUCCUAGUGUAGCGGUGAAAUGCGUAGAUAUUAGGAGGAACACCAGUGGCGAAGGCGGCCUGCUGGGCUUUAACUGACGCUGAGGCUCGAAAGCGUGGGGAGCAAACAGGAUUAGAUACCCUUGUA